AUAUUUGUUUUUAGGGUAGACUUCAAAUACGAUCCUCUGGUUUCGCACUUUCUCAUUUUAAUAUUUUGUGGUUUAAAGUGUAUCAAAUUAGUGUCCUGUGAUUUUAUUUUUAUCUUUUCGUCAGCUUCUCGUUUAUAAUUUCGUUAAAUUAUAUACAAAGGACUUUAGAUACCUCACCUGAAUUUAUCGAAUAUUCACUUUAGUACCUUUUAGUUUUAACUUUGUCACUGAUUUAACAAAAAAAAUUAGUGGAAUCAAUAAUAAAAAGAUAAAAAUAAAACUACAGGGCACUAAAUUGAUACACUUUAAACCAUAGAGUACUAAAAUAAGAAAGUGUGAGACCACGGAAAUAACAUUUGAAGUUUUUUCUUCUUUUUAUGUGAAAGGAGGGGAAAUGCGAAGAGAUAAAAGAUGUGUUUCGUUAACCGUAAAAUAUACUAAAAAGUAAUUUUUAAUUUGAAAAAUAAUUUCUUGUGUGUUCAUGAAAAAUUAUUUUUAUAAAUUUGUAAAACAUAGUGUGUUUUCGUUUUUUGUCGAUUCUCAGCUGAAAAUAAAAACUCAAGCUGUGUAAAUUUUUUUUAAUUUAUUUAUUUUUACUGAACCAAACGAAUAAUUUUUUUUUUUCCUUCCAACCAAAUAAAUAUUGAUGAAAAUUUUUUUUCUCUACAAAUCAAACACUAUAAAGCGUAAAAAAAAAAAAAUACCAAAAAUU
Molecule: long non-coding RNA, 712 nt
Filed under: Ananas comosus (pineapple)
Lineage: Eukaryota; Viridiplantae; Streptophyta; Magnoliopsida; Poales; Bromeliaceae
Description: long non-coding RNA (ACOM_LNC030141)
Source: RNAcentral